Molecule: ribosomal RNA, 264 nt
Filed under: uncultured bacterium
Lineage: Bacteria
Description: partial 16S ribosomal RNA
Rfam family: Bacterial small subunit ribosomal RNA
Source: RNAcentral
GUCCACGCCCUAAACGAUGCUCACUAGGUGUUGGGGAAGCGAUUCCUUGGUACCGUAGCUAACGCGUGAAGUGAGCCGCCUGGGGAGUACGGCCGCAAGGUUAAAACUCAAAGGAAUUGACGGGGACCCGCACAAGCGGUGGAUGAUGUGGAUUAAUUCGAUGCAACGCGAACAACCUUACCUACCCUUGACAUGUCUGGAAGGCUGCUGAAAGGUGGCUGUGCCCGAAAGGGAACCGGAACACAGGUGCUGCAUGGCUGUCGU